AACGAACGCUGGCGGCAUGCCUAACACAUGCAAGUCGAACGAGAUCUUCGGGUCUAGUGGCGCACGGGUGCGUAACGCGUGGGAAUCUGCCCUCAGGUUCGGAAUAACCAUUGGAAACGAUGGCUAAUACCGGAUGAUGACGUUAAGUCCAAAGAUUUAUCGCCUGAGGAUGAGCCCGCGUAGGAUUAGCUAGUUGGUGUGGUAAAGGCGCACCAAGGCGACGAUCCUUAGCUGGUCUGAGAGGAUGAUCAGCCACACUGGGACUGAGACACGGCCCAGAAUCCUACGGGAGGCAGCAGUGGGGAAUAUUGGACAAUGGGCGAAAGCCUGAUCCAGCAAUGCCGCGUGAGUGAUGAAGGCCUUAGGGUUGUAAAGCUCUUUUACCCGGGAUGAUAAUGACAGUACCGGGAGAAUAAGCUCCGGCUAACUCCGUG
This 434-nucleotide ribosomal RNA is filed under the name uncultured bacterium. RNAcentral describes it as "partial 16S ribosomal RNA". It matches the Rfam family "Bacterial small subunit ribosomal RNA", at positions 29 to 507 of the family's 1533-position model. The record is from RNAcentral.